Molecule: small nucleolar RNA, 133 nt
Organism: Otolemur garnettii (small-eared galago)
Lineage: Eukaryota; Metazoa; Chordata; Mammalia; Primates; Galagidae
Source: Ensembl
GGCCUCUCUCUCUCCUGGGGCUGUGGAGGGUCCAGUUUCUCCUCAGCCAAGGAUGGAGGCCAACAUCAGCCCCUGAGGACCAUUGUCAGGACUGCCAUGAGAGGGCAGCCUUGUUUUCCUGCCUCAAACAUUU